AAGGAACCAAGACCAUUACAAUAUUAAGAAAGACAGGAGUUCCACUGCAAGGAGGGCUGAGGCUUAAUAACCAGGGAACUGAAGAAGAGAGGAAGGAAGAAGAGGGCAGCAGUGAUACCAAUCUGAAAGAAGAGCAGUCACAGGGACGAACUUGUGAAGAGGGGUCAGCAUGCUGGUCUUUAUCCUACCAACUGCCAGGAACCAAGGUUGAUAGCGGUGGCUAGCUCUGGCAUGAUCUUCAAAGGGUUGGAAGUAUAAUGUUUACACAUGUGGUAGAGCUGACCAGCCUGUGAUGAUUAUUAGAAUCAUUCAGUCCAAGAAUAAGAAAUGAGGGACCAAGAAGAAGGGAAAGGUUUUUCUUGGUCAAAGAACAUCACCUCUCUGGGGAACAAGCAGACAAGGACCAAACCAGGUGAACCUCCGCUACCAAGGGUUCACCAUAAUAGGGCUAAAUUGAAUGUGGACAUCGAAUUAGUGUUAAAACUAUUUCAGCGAGAAACUCCUGAAUUCAAGUAUCUACCAACCACAGCUUUCCCAGCCCUAAGGAUGACAGGUGUGUGCCAAAACCCAGCACUGAUGUUCUUGUCUAAUAAAAGAAGAAGUCCCUCAAUAUCAAUAUCAAUAACAAUAAAUGAAUUACUAUGA
RNAcentral lists this long non-coding RNA (645 nucleotides) under Monodelphis domestica (gray short-tailed opossum). Its description in RNAcentral is "lncRNA (ENSMODG00000030716.2)". The record is from RNAcentral. Lineage: Eukaryota; Metazoa; Chordata; Mammalia; Didelphimorphia; Didelphidae.